Caretta caretta (loggerhead turtle) is the source of this 395-nucleotide non-coding RNA. The record is from RefSeq and is a predicted model, not a curated record. NCBI's taxonomy places the organism in Eukaryota, Metazoa, Chordata, Testudines, Cheloniidae.
CCGGAAGCAGCGGCCUUCUCCUCACGGCGCCAGCGGCCGCGGGGACCACCGCCAUAUUGGAUCACGGAGCCGCAGCGGACAGAAUCAGUUUCAAAAGGACCUUGAUAAAUCUGCUUCCCUAGAAAGCUGCUUCUAAGCAAGUCAACUUCAGCAACAGCCGCACACACCAGCAAAAGCAACAACUUUCAUUUUGCAACGUGUAUGACCUUUGGGCAGUCACUUCAACUCAUUGUGCCAGCUUCCUUAUAAUAGAGGCACUAUUUGGGCAGGAAGACUAUUGAUACAGCAUCAGAAGAUACCAGAAAUCCACAUUCAGAUGUCCUGCUGAAAAAACUCCCAGGGUUCUCCCAAAGCAGUAAGGCUGAUUGUACAACAUGCCAGAAUUAACAUGCCAA